This 87-nucleotide transfer RNA is filed under the name Candidatus Termititenax aidoneus. RNAcentral describes it as "Termititenax aidoneus tRNA". It matches the Rfam family "tRNA". From Rfam's summary of the family: Transfer RNA (tRNA) molecules are approximately 80 nucleotides in length. Their secondary structure includes four short double-helical elements and three loops (D, anti-codon, and T loops). Lineage: Bacteria; Bacillati; Candidatus Margulisiibacteriota; Candidatus Termititenacia; Candidatus Termititenacales; Candidatus Termititenacaceae. The record is from Rfam by way of RNAcentral. RNAcentral also lists the same sequence under 1 other name.
GGAGAGGUCGCAUAGUGGCCGAGUGCGCUGGUUUGCUAAACCGGUAAGGGGGAAACCCCUUCGAGGGUUCAAAUCCCUCCCUCUCCG